RNAcentral lists this transfer RNA (82 nucleotides) under Apaloderma vittatum (bar-tailed trogon). It matches the Rfam family "tRNA". From Rfam's summary of the family: Transfer RNA (tRNA) molecules are approximately 80 nucleotides in length. Their secondary structure includes four short double-helical elements and three loops (D, anti-codon, and T loops). Further hydrogen bonds mediate the characteristic L-shaped molecular structure. tRNAs have two regions of fundamental functional importance: the anti-codon, which is responsible for specific mRNA codon recognition, and the 3' end, to which the tRNAs corresponding amino acid is attached (by aminoacyl-tRNA synthetases). tRNAs cope with the degeneracy of the genetic code in two manners: having more than one tRNA (with a specific anti-codon) for a particular amino acid; and 'wobble' base-pairing, i.e. permitting non-standard base-pairing at the 3rd anti-codon position. Lineage: Eukaryota; Metazoa; Chordata; Aves; Trogoniformes; Trogonidae. The record is from Rfam by way of RNAcentral.
GAUGCCAUUGCCAAGUGGUUAAGACGAUGGACUAGAAAUCCAUUGGGGUCUCCCUGCGCAGGUUCGUAUCCUGCUGACUACG